Long non-coding RNA from Styela clava, 439 nucleotides. RefSeq lists it as uncharacterized. Lineage: Eukaryota; Metazoa; Chordata; Ascidiacea; Stolidobranchia; Styelidae. The record is from RefSeq and is a predicted model, not a curated record.
CACAAUAUGGCCAUACGACUUUAAUCAGCGCACCUGUUUCUCAGCAAAUGGACAGGUCUUCUUGGUCGUCGGGAUUAUGCGCAUGUAUGACGGACUGCAGUUCAUGCCUGCUGACAGCAUUUUGCCCUGUUUGUUUCACGGCAAACUUGGCAACCCGAAUGGGUGAAUCAUGUCUAUAUGGAUACUGUUGCGCCCCUCAUUUUGCCAGUACUGCACGUCCGUACUUCCGAGGAAAAGAAAACAUCACGGGUUCUCUGGCGGGUGAUUGCUGCAUAGGAUGUUGGUGCGUAUGCUGCAACAUUUGUCAAAUAUCUCGUGAACUCGAUCGUCGUGGCUAUUCAAGAGGUUGCAUGUGUUAAUAAGAAGAUGCAUAAUAUUUCUACAUGACAGCUGUCCUUUCAAUCAUUCAAUUAAUAAUUGUAGAUUAAUUCAUGAUAUG